RNAcentral lists this ribosomal RNA (528 nucleotides) under Scutisorex somereni. RNAcentral's name for it is "partial 16S ribosomal RNA". It matches the Rfam family "Bacterial large subunit ribosomal RNA", at positions 1830 to 2586 of the family's 2925-position model. Lineage: Eukaryota; Metazoa; Chordata; Mammalia; Eulipotyphla; Soricidae. The record is from RNAcentral.
CUAGCAUAAUAAGUAUUAGAGGCACUGCCUGCCCAGUGACAUUAGUUAAACGGCCGCGGUAUCCUGACCGUGCAAAGGUAGCAUAAUCAUUUGUUCCUUAAUUAGGGACUUGUAUGAAUGGCCACACGAGGGUUUAACUGUCUCUUACUUUCAAUCAGUGAAAUUGACCUUCCCGUGAAGAGGCGGGAAUAAAAAAAUAAGACGAGAAGACCCUAUGGAGCUUAAAUUAAACUAUUCAAUAAUUUAAACAUAAUUCCCACAGGAACAAAGACACAUUAUAUGAAUAAUAAAUUUUGGUUGGGGUGACCUCGGAGUAUAAAACAACCUCCGAGUAAUUUAAACCAAGACUCACUCGUCAAAGUAAUAAAGCCUAUUGAUCCAAUCAUAUUGAUCAACGGAACAAGUUACCCUAGGGAUAACAGCGCAAUCCUAUUUAAGAGUUCACAUCGACAAUAGGGUUUACGACCUCGAUGUUGGAUCAGGACACCCAAAUGGUGCAGCAGCUAUUAAAGGUUCGUUUGUUCAACG